AAACUACUCCCUCCGUCCGGAAAUACUUGUCGUAAAAAUGCAUAAAAAUGGAUGUAUCUAGAACUAAAAUAUGUCUAGAUACAUCCAUUCCUCCGACAAGUAUUUCUGGACGGAGGGAGUAGAAA
Molecule: non-coding RNA, 125 nt
Organism: Triticum aestivum (bread wheat)
Lineage: Eukaryota; Viridiplantae; Streptophyta; Magnoliopsida; Poales; Poaceae
Source: Rfam